Molecule: transfer RNA, 66 nt
Filed under: human gut metagenome
Rfam family: tRNA
About the family: Transfer RNA (tRNA) molecules are approximately 80 nucleotides in length.
Source: RNAcentral
GGGAUAGAGCAGUUGGUAGCUCGUCGGGCUCAUAACCCGGAGGUCGUUGGUUCAAAUCCUUCUCCC